UGGGGAAUAUUGCACAAUGGGGGAAACCCUGAUGCAGCGACGCCGCGUGAAGGAUGAAGUAUUUCGGUAUGUAAACUUCUAUCAGCAGGGAAGAAAAUGACGGUACCUGACUAAGAAGCCCCGGCUAACUACGUGCCAGCAGCCGCGGUAAUACGUAGGGGGCAAGCGUUAUCCGGAUUUACUGGGUGUAAAGGGAGCGUAGACGGCUUAGCAAGUCUGAAGUGAAAGCCCGCGGCUCAACUGCGGGACUGCUUUGGAAACUGUGUUGCUGGAGUGCCGGAGAGGUAAGUGGAAUUCCUAGUGUAGCGGUGAAAUGCGUAGAUAUUAGGAGGAACACCAGUGGCGAAGGCGGCUUACUGGACGGUAACUGACGUUGAGGCUCGAAAGCGUGGGGAGCAAACAGGAUUAGAUACCC
This 415-nucleotide ribosomal RNA is filed under the name uncultured bacterium. Its description in RNAcentral is "bacterial SSU rRNA". It matches the Rfam family "Bacterial small subunit ribosomal RNA", at positions 355 to 787 of the family's 1533-position model. The record is from RNAcentral.